RNAcentral lists this long non-coding RNA (500 nucleotides) under Nicotiana tabacum (common tobacco). RNAcentral's name for it is "long non-coding RNA (NTAB_LNC000460)". The record is from RNAcentral. Lineage: Eukaryota; Viridiplantae; Streptophyta; Magnoliopsida; Solanales; Solanaceae.
GCCAUGGAAGUCACCAAAAACCGGGGCAGAAAAUUUUCUGCCGAUUGUCGAAAAUUUUCUCGGAAGAACAGGGAAACAAUUUCAAUACAUUUAAGUUCUAGGUCGCCCACCAGUAUAAUGCGGGAAUACUUUUAAGUUCUAGGUCGCCCACCAGUAUAAUGCGGGAAUACUUUUAAGUUCUAGGUCACCCACCAGUAUAAUGCGGGAAUACUUUUAAUUUCUAGGUCGCCCACCAGUAUAAUGCGGGAAUACUUUUAAGUUCUAGGUCGCCCACCAGUAUAAUGCGGGAAUACUUUUAAGUUCUAGGUUGCCCACCAGUAUAAUGCGGGAAUACAUUUCAGUUCUAGGUCGCCCACCAGUAUAAUGCGGGAAUACCUUUUAAGUUCUAGGUCGCCCACCAGUAUAAUGCGGGAAUACUUUUAAGUUCUAGGUCGCCCACCAGUAUAAUGCGGGAAUACUUUUAAUUUCUAGGUCGCCCACCAGUAUAAUGCGGGAAUACU